UACGAAGGGGGCUAGCGUUGCUCGGAUUGACUGGGCGUAAAGGGCGCGUAGGCGGUUCGUACAGUCAGACGUGAAAUUCCUGGGCUCAACCUGGGGGCUGCGUUUGAUACGUGCGGACUUGAGUGCGGAAGAGGGUCGUGGAAUUCCCAGUGUAGAGGUGAAAUUCGUAGAUAUUGGGAAGAACACCGGUGGCGAAGGCGGGUCUCUGGGCCGUAACUGACGCUGAGGAGCGAAAGCGUGGGGAGCGAACAGG
This 253-nucleotide ribosomal RNA is filed under the name uncultured bacterium. Its description in RNAcentral is "partial 16S ribosomal RNA". It matches the Rfam family "Bacterial small subunit ribosomal RNA", at positions 524 to 776 of the family's 1533-position model. The record is from RNAcentral.